Molecule: transfer RNA, 66 nt
Filed under: Burramys parvus (mountain pygmy possum)
Lineage: Eukaryota; Metazoa; Chordata; Mammalia; Diprotodontia; Burramyidae
Description: tRNA-Cys
Source: RNAcentral
AGCCUUGAAGUAUUUAUUACGUUGAAUUGCAAAUUCAGAGAAGCAAUUGAAUAAUUGCCGGGGCUU